Molecule: ribosomal RNA, 257 nt
Filed under: uncultured archaeon
Lineage: Archaea
Description: partial 16S ribosomal RNA
Rfam family: Archaeal small subunit ribosomal RNA
Source: RNAcentral
ACUGACAUUAGAUACCCGCGUAGUCCAGGGUGUAAACGCUGCAGACUUGGUGUUGGGGCCCUUUGGGGGCAUUCAGUGCCGGAGAGAAGUUGUUAAGUCUGCUACUUGGGAGUACGUCCGCAAGGAUGAAACUUAAAGGAAUUGCGGGGGAGCACCGCAACGGGAGGAGCGUGCGGUUUAAUUGGAUUCAACACCGUAAACUCACCAGGGAAGACUGUUACAUGAAGGCCGAGAUGAAGACUCUGCUAGAUUUUCAG